UACGUAGGGAGCAAGCGUUGUCCGGAUUUAUUGGGCGUAAAGAGCUCGUAGGUGGUUCAGCAAGUCGGGUGUGAAAGCUCUGGGCUCAACCCAGAGAUGCCACCCGAUACUGCUGUGACUAGAGUCUGGUAGGGGAUCGCGGAAUUCCAGGUGUAGCGGUGAAAUGCACAGAUAUCUGGAGGAACACCAGCGGCGAAGGCGGCGAUCUGGGCCAGUACUGACACUGAGGAGCGAAAGCGUGGGGAGCGAACAGG
RNAcentral lists this ribosomal RNA (254 nucleotides) under uncultured bacterium. RNAcentral's name for it is "partial 16S ribosomal RNA". It matches the Rfam family "Bacterial small subunit ribosomal RNA", at positions 524 to 776 of the family's 1533-position model. The record is from RNAcentral.